RNAcentral lists this transfer RNA (64 nucleotides) under Exitianus indicus. RNAcentral's name for it is "tRNA-Glu". Lineage: Eukaryota; Metazoa; Arthropoda; Insecta; Hemiptera; Cicadellidae. The record is from RNAcentral. RNAcentral also lists the same sequence under 1 other name.
AUUCAUAUAGUUUAUUAAAACAUUUUAUUUUCGUUAAAAAGAUGAGUAUUUAUUUCUAUGAAUU